UCCUACGGGAGGCAGCAGUGGGGAAUAUUGGACAAUGGGGGGAACCCUGAUCCAGCCAUGCCGCGUGUGUGAAGAAGGCCUUAUGGUUGUAAAGCACUUUAAGCGAGGAGGAGGCUACUUUAGUUAAUACCUAGAGAUAGUGGACGUACUCGCA
RNAcentral lists this ribosomal RNA (154 nucleotides) under Acinetobacter baumannii. RNAcentral's name for it is "partial 16S ribosomal RNA". It matches the Rfam family "Bacterial small subunit ribosomal RNA", at positions 337 to 483 of the family's 1533-position model. Lineage: Bacteria; Pseudomonadati; Pseudomonadota; Gammaproteobacteria; Moraxellales; Moraxellaceae. The record is from RNAcentral.